UGGGGAAUAUUGGACAAUGGGCGCAAGCCUGAUCCAGCCAUGCCGCGUGAGUGAUGAAGGCCUUAGGGUUGUAAAGCUCUUUUGUCCGGGACGAUAAUGACGGUACCGGAAGAAUAAGCCCCGGCUAACUUCGUGCCAGCAGCCGCGGUAAUACGAAGGGGGCUAGCGUUGCUCGGAAUCACUGGGCGUAAAGGGCGCGUAGGCGGCCAUUCAAGUCGGGGGUGAAAGCCUGUGGCUCAACCACAGAAUUGCCUUCGAUACUGUUUGGCUUGAGUUUGGUAGAGGUUGGUGGAACUGCGAGUGUAGAGGUGAAAUUCGUAGAUAUUCGCAAGAACACCAGUGGCGAAGGCGGCCAACUGGACCAACACUGACGCUGAGGCGCGAAAGCGUGGGGAGCAAACAGG
This 404-nucleotide ribosomal RNA is filed under the name uncultured bacterium. RNAcentral describes it as "bacterial SSU rRNA". It matches the Rfam family "Bacterial small subunit ribosomal RNA", at positions 355 to 776 of the family's 1533-position model. The record is from RNAcentral.